CCUACGGGAGGCAGCAGUGAGGAAUAUUGGUCAAUGGGCGCGAGCCUGAACCAGCCAAGUAGCGUGAAGGAUGACUGCCCUACGGGUUGUAAACUUCUUUUAUAAAGGAAUAAAGUGAGGCACGUGUGCCUUUUUGUAUGUACUUUAUGAAUAAGAAUCGGCUAACUCCGUGCCAUCAGCCGCGGUAAUACGGAGGAUCCGAGCGUUAUCCGGAUUUAUUGGGUUUAAAGGGAUAGUAGAUGGGUUGUUAAGUCAGUUGUGAAAUUUUGCGGCUCAACCGUAAAAUUGCAAGUGAUACUGGCAGUCUUGAGUACAGUUGAGGUAGGCGGAAUUCGUGGUGUAGCGGUGAAAUGCUUAGAUAUCACGAAGAACUCCGAUUGCGAAGGCAGCUUACUAAACUGCCACUGACAUUGAUGCUCGAAAGUGUGGGUAUCAAACAGGAUUCGAUACCCCAGUAGUC
RNAcentral lists this ribosomal RNA (460 nucleotides) under uncultured bacterium. RNAcentral describes it as "partial 16S ribosomal RNA". It matches the Rfam family "Bacterial small subunit ribosomal RNA", at positions 338 to 795 of the family's 1533-position model. The record is from RNAcentral.